This 207-nucleotide ribosomal RNA is filed under the name uncultured bacterium. RNAcentral describes it as "partial 16S ribosomal RNA". It matches the Rfam family "Bacterial small subunit ribosomal RNA", at positions 568 to 774 of the family's 1533-position model. The record is from RNAcentral.
UACGCAGGCUGUUUCGUAAGUCGGGUGUGAAAGCCCGGGGCUCAACCCCGGAAUUGCGCCCGAGACUGCGGAGCUUGAAUGCGGGAGAGGGAAGCGGAAUUCCUGGUGUAGAGGUGAAAUUCGUAGAUAUCAGGAGGAACACCGGUGGCGAAAGCGGCUUCCUGGCCCGACAUUGACGCUCAUGUACGAGAGCGUGGGGAGCAAACA